RNAcentral lists this ribosomal RNA (428 nucleotides) under uncultured bacterium. RNAcentral's name for it is "bacterial SSU rRNA". It matches the Rfam family "Bacterial small subunit ribosomal RNA", at positions 28 to 436 of the family's 1533-position model. The record is from RNAcentral.
GAUGAACGCUGGCGGCGUGCUUAAUACAUGCAAGUCGAACGAAGCACCUUGGACAGAAUCCUUCGGGAGGAAGACCAUUGUGACUGAGUGGCGGACGGGUGAGUAACGCGUGGGUAACCUGCCUUGUACAGGGGGAUAACAGUUGGAAACGACUGCUAAUACCGCAUAAGCGCACAGUACCGCAUGGUACGGUGUGAAAAACUCCGGUGGUACAAGAUGGACCCGCGUCUGAUUAGCUAGUUGGUGAGGUAACGGCCCACCAAGGCGACGAUCAGUAGCCGACUUGAGAGAGCGAUCGGCCACAUUGGGACUGAGACACGGCCCAAACUCCUACGGGAGGCAGCAGUAGGGAAUAUUGCACAAUGGGGGAAACCCUGAUGCAGCGACGCCGCGUGAAGGAAGAAGUAUUUCGGUAUGUAAACUUCUAU